RNAcentral lists this ribosomal RNA (480 nucleotides) under uncultured bacterium. RNAcentral describes it as "partial 16S ribosomal RNA". It matches the Rfam family "Bacterial small subunit ribosomal RNA", at positions 29 to 507 of the family's 1533-position model. The record is from RNAcentral.
AUGAACGCUGGCGGCGUGCUUAACACAUGCAAGUCGAACGAAGCACUUUAUUUGAUUUCCUUCGGGACUGAUUAUUUUGUGACUGAGUGGCGGACGGGUGAGUAACGCGUGGGUAACCUGCCUUGUACAGGGGGAUAACAGUUGGAAACGGCUGCUAAUACCGCAUAAGCGCACGGCAUCGCAUGAUGCAGUGUGAAAAACUCCGGUGGUAUAAGAUGGACCCGCGUUGGAUUAGCUAGUUGGUGAGGUAACGGCCCACCAAGGCGACGAUCCAUAGCCGACCUGAGAGGGUGACCGGCCACAUUGGGACUGAGACGCGGCCCAAACUCCUACGGGAGGCAGCAGUGGGGAAUAUUGCACAAUGGGCGAAAGCCUGAUGCAGCGACGCCGCGUGAGCGAAGAAGUAUUUCGGUAUGUAAAGCUCUAUCAGCAGGGAAGAUAAUGACGGUACCUGACGAAGAAGCACCGGCUAAAUACGUG